GUGCUAGCUUUGGCACAUAUACUAAAAGUGGAAUGGUACAGAGAAGCUUGGCGUGGUCCCUGAAAAAGAAUGACAUGCAGAUUCAUGAAGCAAUCCAUAUUUUU
Small nuclear RNA from Bison bison bison, 104 nucleotides. Lineage: Eukaryota; Metazoa; Chordata; Mammalia; Artiodactyla; Bovidae. The record is from Ensembl.